RNAcentral lists this ribosomal RNA (445 nucleotides) under uncultured bacterium. RNAcentral's name for it is "partial 16S ribosomal RNA". It matches the Rfam family "Bacterial small subunit ribosomal RNA", at positions 354 to 796 of the family's 1533-position model. The record is from RNAcentral.
GUGAGGAAUAUUGGUCAAUGGGCGCAAGCCUGAACCAACCAUGCCGCGUGCAGGAAGACGGUCCUAUGGAUUGUAAACUGCUUUUAUUUGGGAAUAAACUCCGGUACGUGUACCGGCCUGAAGGUACCAAAUGAAUAAGCACCGGCUAACUCCGUGCCAGCAGCCGCGGUAAUACGGAGGGUGCAAGCGUUAUCCGGAAUCAUUGGGUUUAAAGGGUCCGCAGGCGGUCUUAUAAGUCAGUGGUGAAAGCCUACAGCUCAACUGUAGAACUGCCAUUGAUACUGUAGGACUUGAAUUCGAUCGAAGUGGGCGGAAUGUGACAUGUAGCGGUGAAAUGCUUAGAUAUGUCACAGAACACCGAUAGCGAAGGCAGCUCACUAGGUCUGGAUUGACGCUCAGGGACGAAAGCGUGGGGAGCAAACAGGAUUAGAUACCCGAGUAGUCC